CUAGACAGUCACUUCGUGCAGGCCAUAAGGACAUGUCACAUGUGUAGUUAUGUACGCUUCAACCAUUUCACAAAUAUUUCACACCCACUAUGUGUGAGGCACAAUUUUAAGCAACAAACAAGACAGACAAGAUCCUUGCUCUCAUGGAACUUGCAUUUUAGUGGGGGCAGGGACAGACAGCACAAAAAAGAUAAUUUCAGGUAUUGAGAAGUGUUCUGAAGAUAAUAGGAUAAGGCCCUGUCAUAAAGAGAUUCUGUGGAGGGCCCGUCCCCGUGGCCUAGUGGCUAAGUUCAGCACGCUCUGUUUCAGCGGCCCGGGUUCAGUUCCUGGGUGCGGACCUGCACUGCUCUAUUAGCGGCCAUGCUGUGCUGGCAGCCCAUAUACUAAAAGAUAGAGGAAGAUUGGAAUGGAUGUUAGCUCAGGACAAAUCUUCCUCAGCCAAGAAAUAAAAAAAAGAGUAUCUGUGGAAACGACCUUAGAUAGGGUGGUCAGGGAAGGCCUCUCUGAAGAAGUGACAUCUCAACCAAGGUAGGAAUAAUAGGAAGGAACAGCCAACGCCAAGGUCCCCAGACACACAGAUCAUGCUGUGUUCUAGGAACAGAAAGAAGGCAGGAGCCUAGUGUGAAGAGAAGGGCUGGGGAGAUGAGAAAAUUGUUUGAUGAUCACAGUCUUUCUGCUUCUGAGGGUUGAAGAUCAAAGAGCCACGUCUCAGCCGCUUUUCUGCGAACAUUCUCUGUCCUAAGCUAUUUGGGAGAAGUGUGGAAGUUGGAAACAGCGAUGAAGCUCGCCCCACUACCAAGCAGGGGCUCUCAGUCCUCCAGACGUCACAUUUGCCUCCACCCCUCCUCAGUGUUGGCGAGGCCGAGGCCGGCUCUGCUCGGGCGGAAGGGGCACAGGGCCACAGCCUCCCCUCGCAGCCAGUCUUCUCACAGAAUUUGUUCACUGGACGUGAACAUUCCUGACAUUCAAAAAGUCAUAGAGAAAACAUAUUAAAACCUGCAUCCUCCAUACACAACUCAAGAAAUACAGCUCGGAGGGGCUGGCCCCGUGGCCGAGUGGUUAAGUUCGCGUGCUCAGCUGCAGGCAGCCCAGUGUUUCGUUGGUUCGAAUCCUGGGCGCAGACAUAGCACUGCUCAUCAAACCAUGCUGAGGCAGCGUCCCACAUGCCACAAC
Molecule: long non-coding RNA, 1173 nt
Filed under: Equus asinus (donkey)
Lineage: Eukaryota; Metazoa; Chordata; Mammalia; Perissodactyla; Equidae
Description: lncRNA (ENSEASG00005030005.1)
Source: RNAcentral